Beta vulgaris subsp. vulgaris (sugar beet) is the source of this 1217-nucleotide long non-coding RNA. RefSeq lists it as uncharacterized. The record is from RefSeq and is a predicted model, not a curated record. Lineage: Eukaryota; Viridiplantae; Streptophyta; Magnoliopsida; Caryophyllales; Amaranthaceae. The transcript has 2 exons.
CCAUGACCACACAACUCAUCUUCUUCCUCAAGAUUCAUGACCUUGCUCUCCAAGGCUUCUAGAACUCCUUGCUCCCCAAGUAUUCUUCACCAUUAAGUCUUUAUUAGUUUAAUAGAAUCUUCUUCCUAAAACCACUAUAAAUAGUGGGUUAAUUUCACCAUUUCUCACCCACUUAAAACUUACAAAUUAUAACCAUAACCUCCAUUUAUACUAUCAAAUAAAAAUCUGAAUUUUCAUUGAUGUGUCUUAUUCUUUUUGAGUACCCAUGAAUGGCCCUAAAUACCCACUCUCUUCCUCCUUUGAUUUUAGGUUGUCGUACUAUUUUUCCCCAAUAUCUUCUUCUUCCAGUCAGAAUUUGCAUAUACUUACUUCAUAAAAGUUGUAGAUCACGAAAAGUUAUUGAAUUUAGACCCAAAAAUCAUCUGAUUCGGAGUUUGGAGUAAAGAGUUAGACCCUCUGGAAGUUUUCUGUUAUUGCUGCCAAAUAUUAUACGUUCCUCUGGUUCCUUUGUUUAAAUUCUGAUUCAUGGAACCCGAAAGUCUAUUUGUUUGGUUAAGAACGCUAUGGUUUUAUGGAGGAUGAUUCUUGGAGAUGACGACACUUAAUGAGUAAAGGAAAUGAAUUAGUGUAUAAGGUAUUUAUGAAGAUAGCGCAAGUUCAGUUAGGACAUGGAUGUUCUGGUUGGAUUAUAUUGAAGUGACUCUGUACAAUUUGGGAUUUUUUAUCAUACUAUGUAUUAUAUAAUUAUUACUCUAUUUGAGAGUUUGUAUAUUUUUAGAGACCAUUUUAAGGCUAUUAUUUUAUUUAUAGGCCUAUAACCCACAGCUUAAGUUCCGUUUCCGCUGUCAAUCAUGAGUAAUUAAGGUUCUGAAUUCUCGGGGCGUUACACCAACCCCUACAACCACCACGAGCAAGCCGCAAAAACACAAAAAAAUUACCCUCCGGCUAGGACGUUUCCGCCAUGAUGGCAGAUGGUAAUUCUUUUGGUUUCGUUGGUGGUUGUGCAUGGUUUAGUGGGUGGUGUGCGUGGCCUCGAUGGUGGUUUGCGUGAUUUCGAUGGUGGUUGUUUGUGUAGUAGUGGUGGUUGUUGGGUACUAAGGGGGUUUGGUGAUGGUGAGGAUGAAAAAGAAAAUUAAGGGUAAAAUUAUACUUUCAAUUAUGUUCUUAGAUGAUUUUAAGAAAUUUUGUUGCGAUGAUUAACAAUCUCAGUUGAAUAU